RNAcentral lists this ribosomal RNA (253 nucleotides) under uncultured bacterium. RNAcentral's name for it is "partial 16S ribosomal RNA". It matches the Rfam family "Bacterial small subunit ribosomal RNA", at positions 524 to 776 of the family's 1533-position model. The record is from RNAcentral.
UACGUAUGGUGCAAGCGGUGUUCGGAAUCAUUGGGCGUAAAGGGCGUGUAGGCGGGAGACUCAGUGGGAAGUGAAAACUUCGGGCUCAACCCGGAGCCUGCUUUCCAUACUGGUUUUCUGGAGUUCAGGAGGGGCAAGGGGAAUUGGCAGUGUAGCGGUGAAAUGCGUAGAUAUUGCCAGGAACACCGGUGGCGAAGGCGUCUUGCUGGCCUGAAACUGACGCUGAUGCGCGAAAGCGUGGUGAGCGAACGGG